Long non-coding RNA from Hipposideros armiger (great roundleaf bat), 1362 nucleotides. RefSeq lists it as uncharacterized. The transcript is spliced from 4 exons. Lineage: Eukaryota; Metazoa; Chordata; Mammalia; Chiroptera; Hipposideridae. The record is from RefSeq and is a predicted model, not a curated record.
UAUAAGUGAAAAAAUUUAUUGUAAAAUUUUUAUAUUAGGGAAACAAACAGUUCAACAUAUGAGAAAUGGUUUAAGAAAUUGGGGAAUGUCAACUCAAUGGAAUUUUAUGCAGUUGUUAAAUUAGUAAUUACAACGAUUAUGUAGAAACAUUGGCAUGAGUUCACAAUGUAAUGCAAAAAAUAGGAUGUAAAAUUCUUAGCAUUUAAAAUUAUAUACUCGUUAAAUCCACAUAGAUGAAGACUGGGAAGAGGUGGAAAAACUGAAAACAGUGUGAGAGAGAGAGUGACACUCGUGUCUGAAAUUUUUCUUGAAAGUCAUCGUUGUGCAAUUACAAUGGACGGUCAUGGAAAAUGCUUGGUCAGCCCGUUACUUAGGGAGGCCUGGCUGAAUAUUGGAGAGAGUGAGAGAGGCGCCGGAGGCCAAGAGAACUGGGCUGGACGCCAGGCUCCACUUCAUACCAGAAGUAUGAGCCCAGACAAGUCAUUGAACUUCCUGUAGCUUGGUUUACAAAACUGUAAACGUGGAUGAAGAAGGCCCACAGCGGCAGCUGUUGGGGGAAGGGAGCCGAAUGCGUGGAGGCAGGUCUGCGUCACUGGCAAUGGAAUCUGAGGUCAUACUCCAGCACAGAGAGAUUACAUCUCCUGCUCAUUCCUUAUCUACAUGACCGAUUGAUCAUUGAGGAAAAUUAAAUCGGUCUGCCAAGAUCUGAUCUUCACAUACUACUGAGGCAACUGAGGCUCAGAGGUAUAGAGUAUGUUAUGCAACGCCACGCAGCUGGUCAGUGGCAGAGGUAACACUUUAAUUUCUGGUCCUUCACACCGACUCCCCGUAGUUCUAACACAUGGUGUUCUGAAUAGUCUAAACUCCUAAGGCUUCAGACAUUUACCUGGGUGAGUACAAAAACUUCAAAAUUUAUAACUCUGUCCUCAAAAACCUAGUCCUCAUCUUCUCCCACCUCCUGGACAUUUCCGCUUGGACAUCUUUCUAAAAACUAUAGCUGCACCUGUGAACUCAAUUAUCUUCCCUCUAAACUCCAGGACCUCCACCACCCCGCCCAUCAAUGCUCUGUGUUUUUUAGUGGGAUGUCACUCUUCCAACCUCUCAUGGUCUGAGUUCAUUUAAACCCCUCCCUGGGGAUCCUUUCUCUGAAAUAUUUCUUGUCUCCGUCUACCAUUUUUUAUUUCUAUCACGCCUAGGGCUUAUAUUACUGCAGCAGCUAAAUACGUCUCACCAAGCUGUCACAGUUGAAACACUGCUUAAUCAAAUCAAUUCCUUAAACCAUUCCAGGGCCACACCAGCACUGACCUCUGAGAGCAGCGAUGUUGUCCUAAGGUUCUGGGGACCAAGCCACAGUACCUAGGC